UGCUGCUGUUUACACUAUGUGGAAGCUGGACACUCAGCCUGUUUCGGGGGGACCCAGGCUAAAGGUUCUGCCCUAGGUGUGUAGAGACGGGGUUCCACCGUGUUAGCCAGGAUGGUCUCGAUUUCCUGACCUCGUCAUCCUCCCGCCUUGGCCUCCCAAAGUGCUGGGAUUACAGGCUUGAGCCACCGCGCCCCGCUCUUUCGUGUUCCAAAGGCUUUUUAAAUAAACUUCCACUCCUGUCCUGGAUUCUGCUUUAUGGCCCUCAGUCGAAUUCUUUCUUCUGAGGAGGCAAGGACUGAAGUUGCUUCUGACCAGUACAGGAGAAAACGAAUACAGCAGGGAUGACUUCCACCAGCUCCACUUUGCAGCUCUGAGGUGUAUUAAAAAUGACCUGGAAGAAGUCAUGCCACGGGCCAGACCUUAACAUUCCUUUCGGCUUACCCCAGGAUUUCAGACAAAGCUUCACUUUCCUAACCAGUCACAAAUCAGAGAAUUUUUGAUUCCACCUAUGACCUGUGAGCUCCUGCUUCAAGAUAUUCCACCUUUUUUAGGCCAAACCAAUGUAUAACCUCCAAGUGUCGAUUUACACUUUCGACUGUAACUUCUGCUUUCCUGAGAUUUACCCCUGCCUUUAAAAACCCUUGCUUGUAAUCCCUCAGGGAGGCCGUGUAUUUAUUAAUCAUGAGCUGCCCAAUUCUCCUUGCUUGGUGCCCUGCAAAUAAACACCCUCUUUUCUCCCACUGCAAAA
RNAcentral lists this long non-coding RNA (748 nucleotides) under Homo sapiens (human). Its description in RNAcentral is "PPP1R3B divergent transcript". Lineage: Eukaryota; Metazoa; Chordata; Mammalia; Primates; Hominidae. The record is from RNAcentral.